RNAcentral lists this ribosomal RNA (497 nucleotides) under uncultured bacterium. RNAcentral's name for it is "partial 16S ribosomal RNA". It matches the Rfam family "Bacterial small subunit ribosomal RNA", at positions 28 to 507 of the family's 1533-position model. The record is from RNAcentral.
GACGAACGCUGGCGGCGUGCCUAAUACAUGCAAGUUGAGCGAAGAGAGUUGGUACUUGUACCGACUGGAUGAGCAGCGGACGGGUGAGUAACGCGUGGGGAAUCUGCCUUUGAGCGGGGGACAACAUUGGGAAACGAAUGCUAAUACCGCAUAAUAUCUUUAAACACAAGUUUUAAGAUUGAAAGAUGCAAUUGCAUCACUCAAAGGUGAGAUCGCGUUGUCUUAGAUAGUUGGGGAGGGAAAGGCUCACCAAGGCGAUGAUACAUAGCCGAGCUGAGAGGGUGAUCUGCGCCACUGGGACUGUGACACGGCCCAAACUCCCCCGGGAGGCAGCAGAAUGGAAUAUCCGGCGAUGGACGCGAGUCUGACCGAGCAACGCGGCGCGAGUGAAGAAGGUUUUCGGAUCGUAAAAAUCUGUUUUUAGAGAAGAACGUUGGUGUGUGUGGAAAGCUGAUCAAGUGGGGGUAACUUAAUAGAAAGGGACGGCUAACUACGUG